This is a long non-coding RNA of Gavialis gangeticus (Gharial), 274 nucleotides long. RefSeq lists it as uncharacterized. Lineage: Eukaryota; Metazoa; Chordata; Crocodylia; Gavialidae. The transcript is spliced from 3 exons. The record is from RefSeq and is a predicted model, not a curated record.
UUCUGGACUUGCAGUCCAGUCCAAGAUCAGUCAAAUGCCAGGCUUCUGAAGAAACCCAUGUGGGAGUAGAGGAGACAAGAAGGACUUGGCUACUGUGGAGUCACAUGGGGAUGCUGCUGGCUGAUAUUGAAAAGGUACUUACAUGGGCCCCACUUCUGUACUCUUCCAGCACCCCAGUGAGACUGGCGUCUGCUUCUACUCUAAAGCUGAAGACCCUAUACUGCCUUCAUGGCCUAGGAUCCCUGGAUUUCCCAGUGCUGAGCCCAGUUACCUG